Molecule: ribosomal RNA, 635 nt
Filed under: uncultured bacterium
Lineage: Bacteria
Description: bacterial SSU rRNA
Rfam family: Bacterial small subunit ribosomal RNA
Source: RNAcentral
AAUCAACGCUGGCGGCGUGCCUAACACAUGCAAGUCGAGCGCGAAAGGGGGGCAACUCCCAAGUAGAGCGGCGAACGGGUGAGUAACGCGUGGGUAAUCUACCUUCGAGUGGGGAACAACACUGGGAAACUGGUGCUAAUACCGCAUAACAUCCUCGGGUCCACGGAUCUGGGGAUCAAAGCUGGGGACCGCAAGGCCUAGCGCUUGAAGACGAGCCCGCGUCCGACUAGCUAGUUGGCGGGGUAACGGCCCACCAAGGCUUCGAUCGGUAGCCGGCCUGAGAGGGCGGACGGCCACACUGGGACUGAGACACGGCCCAGACUCCUACGGGAGGCAGCAGUGGGGAAUUUUUCGCAAUGGGGGAAACCCUGACGAAGCAACGCCGCGUGGAGGAUGAAGGCCUUCGGGUUGUAAACUCCUGUCAAUCGGGACGAAAACUGUCCGACCCAAUACGUCGGGCAGUUGACUGUACCGGUGGAGGAAGCCACGGCUAACUCUGUGCCAGCAGCCGCGGUAAUACAGAGGUGGCAAGCGUUGUUCGGAAUUACUGGGCGUAAAGGGCGCGUAGGCGGCCUGGCAAGUCCUGUGUGAAAUCCCUCGGCUUAACUGAGGAACUGCACAAGAUACUGCUAGGC